Molecule: ribosomal RNA, 327 nt
Filed under: uncultured eukaryote
Lineage: Eukaryota
Description: partial 18S ribosomal RNA
Rfam family: Eukaryotic small subunit ribosomal RNA
Source: RNAcentral
CCCUUAGAUGUUCUGGGCCGCACGCGCGUUACACUGAUGAAGCCAGCGAGUAUAUCGCCUUCACCGGAAGGUGCGGGUAAUCUUGUGAAACUUCAUCGUGCUGGGGAUAGACCAUUGCAAUUAUUGGUCUUGAACGAGGAAUUCCUAGUAAGCAUGAGUCAUCAACUCGUGCUGAUUACGUCCCUGCCCUUUGUACACACCGCCCGUCGCUACUACCGAUUGAAUGGUUUAGUGAGAUCUCGGGAUUGGAGACGUUGCGCCGCAAGGCACAUCGUCCUCGAGAACUUGAUCAAACUUGAUCAUUUAGAGGAAGUAAAAGUCGUAACA